Hyalella azteca is the source of this 449-nucleotide long non-coding RNA. RefSeq lists it as uncharacterized. NCBI's taxonomy places the organism in Eukaryota, Metazoa, Arthropoda, Malacostraca, Amphipoda, Hyalellidae. The record is from RefSeq and is a predicted model, not a curated record. The transcript is spliced from 2 exons.
UGGGGGACAACCCCACAUCCUCAAUAAACAAAUAACCAACAAACAUACCUAGAUGGUGCAGAUUCUUUUCAGCCGUCAGUUAGAAAAAAUUAGUGCAAUUUUUAUUCUUUCUUCAAUUAACUGUUCUGCAGUCGUUCUUGCUGUUUCAUCACAGCUGACAAGCCCUUCGUAUGCCCUUGGAUGAUCGAACAGCGCAGGAUCUCGCGUGCAGUGACCACAUAUAUCCUGUAAGCGCGUGUUAAGGAACUUCUGGUUGCUGGAGCCUUCGCAGAGGCCGUCUAGAGUAAGGCGGGACUUCAUUUAAUAAACUCACACCAACGUUUAAAAUACGAACUUUGUCAUGUACGCACCAGAUCGUCAUGUACGCACUAGAUCGUCAUGUACGCACUUGAUUGUUAUGCACGCACUAGUUCGUCAUGUACGCACUUGAUCGUCAUGUACGUACUUGA